Molecule: long non-coding RNA, 576 nt
Filed under: Homo sapiens (human)
Lineage: Eukaryota; Metazoa; Chordata; Mammalia; Primates; Hominidae
Description: HSALNT0347997
Source: RNAcentral
CUGAAUUCUCCACCUAACUUCUUCAAAAUCCUCAACUAUUCAUCCAAUCUGGAGUUAAUAAGAAACAUUUGUGUAUAAGUAGGAGCAAAUAAUAUUUUACUUUUUUAUUUAUAAGAUAGCAAAUGCACAUCAGGAAUUGCAAAGCUGUUUUUGAGAAAACGAGGAUCCAGUUUACCUGAAGAGUUGUGAAGAAUAUAUGAAGAUGGGGUGCCAUCAGAGCGACAGAGUUGAAACCAGAUGGGAUAUCACACAAUUACAAACCCACGAGUUUUCCUGUUACUUUAAGGACAAAGGAAGAGGACAUUUGAAAAGACAGUAGUUUUAGAAGCCCUUGAAAAUACCUCCAUCAAGAAGCUCUGGAUCUGCAAGGGGUGGGGGCUUUUGCAUUAAAAAAAAAAGAAAAGAAAAGAAAAGCAGCAGCUACUCUUGCACCUUUCCCCCAGUACGCUGGAGCCACCAACAGGUAACUGCCUAGAAGACAAGGGAUCCAGAGGAAUUUUUUUCCUGCACCUUUAUACAUUCAUCAUCUUUGACUGAGACUGUAUUGGAAACAAUUCUAGCCACUAAAAUUUUCUG